AGAAUACAGCGCUGUCACCUCUACUGGUCGACCAGAGUCACCUGGAACAGGAAAGAGAAUUCAAAUUAGUAACACUUUCUAGGGAAACCUAAGCUUUUCUCCUUUGAAAAGCAAAUGCAUGGCAGGACCGUUUCCCAAAUCCUUGGAUAAAGGUUAAGAAAUGUCAGGAAAACCAAACUUUUGACGUGAUUUGGAAAUCUAAGCAAGUUAAUCACCUGCUGGUGGGAAUGAGAAGUCACCACAUAGCUGCGGAAAGAGGCUGACACUGCAGCAGGACCAGGGACCACGAGCUCGCGCUGCAUUCCCGCAUCCCACUCCCGCAUUCCCUGUGGUGAGGCUGGAGAGCUGGAGCUAGGCUGAGGGAAAGCUGUUUCUGAAAACAUUCUCCCGAAAACUGGAUCUGCCAGCUCCACAUUUUGGGCCAGGCCAAGAGGGACGUGUAUCCAAGGUCAAACCACUGCACAAGGGAAGUACAUCUUGGAACCUUCCCAAGAUUUCUGGCAUCCCUAAGACCAGCCUGGUCCCACUGAAGCCAACUCCCCGCAGGACGCUGGCCUGGGACGUUUGGCCCAGCAAGCAAGAAGCCAAGACGCCAGGUCCCUCAGGAGAGAGACUCUUAACCUAUUUUUACCUGCCUUCCUGAUAGAAUUUCAAAAAAAAUUUGAUACCUAAUUUUUCUGACAUUUUAUUUACAUGAAAUGGUUAAUUACUUAACAGUUUAAUUCAGUAGUGGAUUGUUUUGUGACUUUCUAACAAAAAAAUAGGAUUCUGUGGCUGUUUAAUUUUAGCCCUCACUCCCCUUCUAUAAAUAACUGCUUGAUCCUUUCAAGGAAAAUUUCUAAAGAAUAUUUAAAAAGAUA
Molecule: long non-coding RNA, 860 nt
Organism: Heterocephalus glaber (naked mole-rat)
Lineage: Eukaryota; Metazoa; Chordata; Mammalia; Rodentia; Bathyergidae
Source: RefSeq, a predicted model, not a curated record